Molecule: ribosomal RNA, 1319 nt
Filed under: Klebsiella pneumoniae
Lineage: Bacteria; Pseudomonadati; Pseudomonadota; Gammaproteobacteria; Enterobacterales; Enterobacteriaceae
Description: bacterial SSU rRNA
Rfam family: Bacterial small subunit ribosomal RNA
Source: RNAcentral
UCUCGGGUGACGAGCGGCGGACGGGUGAGUAAUGUCUGGGAAACUGCCUGAUGGAGGGGGAUAACUACUGGAAACGGUAGCUAAUACCGCAUAAUGUCGCAAGACCAAAGUGGGGGACCUUCGGGCCUCAUGCCAUCAGAUGUGCCCAGAUGGGAUUAGCUAGUAGGUGGGGUAACGGCUCACCUAGGCGACGAUCCCUAGCUGGUCUGAGAGGAUGACCAGCCACACUGGAACUGAGACACGGUCCAGACUCCUACGGGAGGCAGCAGUGGGGAAUAUUGCACAAUGGGCGCAAGCCUGAUGCAGCCAUGCCGCGUGUGUGAAGAAGGCCUUCGGGUUGUAAAGCACUUUCAGCGGGGAGGAAGGCGGUGAGGUUAAUAACCUCAUCGAUUGACGUUACCCGCAGAAGAAGCACCGGCUAACUCCGUGCCAGCAGCCGCGGUAAUACGGAGGGUGCAAGCGUUAAUCGGAAUUACUGGGCGUAAAGCGCACGCAGGCGGUCUGUCAAGUCGGAUGUGAAAUCCCCGGGCUCAACCUGGGAACUGCAUUCGAAACUGGCAGGCUAGAGUCUUGUAGAGGGGGGUAGAAUUCCAGGUGUAGCGGUGAAAUGCGUAGAGAUCUGGAGGAAUACCGGUGGCGAAGGCGGCCCCCUGGACAAAGACUGACGCUCAGGUGCGAAAGCGUGGGGAGCAAACAGGAUUAGAUACCCUGGUAGUCCACGCCGUAAACGAUGUCGAUUUGGAGGUUGUGCCCUUGAGGCGUGGCUUCCGGAGCUAACGCGUUAAAUCGACCGCCUGGGGAGUACGGCCGCAAGGUUAAAACUCAAAUGAAUUGACGGGGGCCCGCACAAGCGGUGGAGCAUGUGGUUUAAUUCGAUGCAACGCGAAGAACCUUACCUGGUCUUGACAUCCACAGAACUUUCCAGAGAUGGAUUGGUGCCUUCGGGAACUGUGAGACAGGUGCUGCAUGGCUGUCGUCAGCUCGUGUUGUGAAAUGUUGGGUUAAGUCCCGCAACGAGCGCAACCCUUAUCCUUUGUUGCCAGCGGUUAGGCCGGGAACUCAAAGGAGACUGCCAGUGAUAAACUGGAGGAAGGUGGGGAUGACGUCAAGUCAUCAUGGCCCUUACGACCAGGGCUACACACGUGCUACAAUGGCAUAUACAAAGAGAAGCGACCUCGCGAGAGCAAGCGGACCUCAUAAAGUAUGUCGUAGUCCGGAUUGGAGUCUGCAACUCGACUCCAUGAAGUCGGAAUCGCUAGUAAUCGUAGAUCAGAAUGCUACGGUGAAUACGUUCCCGGGCCUUGUACACACCGCCCGUC